Long non-coding RNA from Eufriesea mexicana, 684 nucleotides. RefSeq lists it as uncharacterized. Lineage: Eukaryota; Metazoa; Arthropoda; Insecta; Hymenoptera; Apidae. The transcript has 5 exons. The record is from RefSeq and is a predicted model, not a curated record.
UGGGAAGCAUCGUUAUGUCCAUGGCAGUGUGUCUGCAUCUGGUCGAAGAAUGUCGACUAGCCAUAUGACAUGCAGGACAUAUAUAUUUGGUGGCGAUAAAGGGACUGAGAGAGGAAGAUGGGUUUGUCAGAUGCAGAGAUAUGGAGAUUACAGUCAGAUUGAAAGGAAUGUUGUGUUCCAAAUCUGAGUAAAUGUUGAUAUCAGUGAUCAAAGUCAAUGACCAACACUAAUUUGUUAAGUUUUAGAAAGAUGAAGUUGAUGACUAUAAAGAAAAUGGAGAAGUUCAAUUGAAAACAUUAAGAAGUGGAAAUGCAUAUUAUGUGGAUCAGAAAACAUAAAUAAGGACGCAUAUGGAUCAACAAAGAAAGUAGGGCAAAAAUCUGGAGAAAUAUCUACAGCAACUUGGAAACAAUAAAAGCAGCAGUAUUAAUGGGUAUGUGGUACAUGGACUUGACUAGGCCAAUGAAACCAGUGUCAAAAGCAGAUAAAAGGAGAAGAGUCAGAAAGCUGAGAAAAUAAAACGAUUGGUGGAAUUGAAAGAAAAUCAGUCUGUCAUGAAGUUAAAAAGUACUUAUAUGCUCAGGCAAUGAAGCCAAGAUUUCGCAGUGCAAUGAAAUUGCUGGGAGGAAGAACAAAUCCACCAUACAGAUGACAAGGGCACUUAUGAUGGAUUCAGACUUCAGA